Molecule: signal recognition particle RNA, 299 nt
Filed under: Aotus nancymaae (Ma's night monkey)
Lineage: Eukaryota; Metazoa; Chordata; Mammalia; Primates; Aotidae
Description: Metazoan signal recognition particle RNA (ENSANAG00000013849.1)
Rfam family: Metazoan signal recognition particle RNA
About the family: The signal recognition particle (SRP) is a universally conserved ribonucleoprotein. It is involved in the co-translational targeting of proteins to membranes.
Source: RNAcentral
GCUGGGCACAGUGGUGGGUGCCUGUAGUCCCAGCUACUUGAGAGACUGAGGUGGGAGGAUCGCUUGAGUCCAGGAGUUCUGGGCUGUAGUGCGCUAUGCUGAUCGGGUGUCCGCACUAAGUUCAGCAUCAAAAUGGUGACCUCCCGGGAGCAGGGGACCACCAGGUUGCCUAAGGAGGGGUGAACCGGCCCAGGUCGGAAACGGAGCAGGUCAAAACUCCCGUGCUGAUCAGUAGUGGGAUCGCGCCUGUGAAUAGCCACUGCACUCCAGCCUGGGCAACAUAGCGAGACCCCAUCUCU